CAGCUCUUGAUUUGUUGAAAGAUAUAGAGGUGGAUGCAAUAGUUGGUCCUCAAAAAUCUUCACAAGCCAAUUUUGUGAUGGAACUAGGAGACAGAGCUCAUGUGCCUAUCAUUUCUUUCUCUGCAACAAUUCCUUCUGUGCUUUUCCCAACUCCAUACUUUGUUCAAACAGCUCUUAGAGAUGACACUCAAGUUGGGGCCAUUGCUGCCAUUAUUGAAGCCUUCCAAUGGAAAGAAGUUGUCAUUAUUUAUGAAGACACAGACUAUGGGAAUGGAGUAGUUCCAUAUUUGUCAAAUGCAUUACAAGAUAUCGCCCGAAUUUCCUACACAAGCAUCAUUCCUCUUUCAGCUAGUGAUGAUUUUAUACUCAGUGAGUUAUCCAAGAUGAUGAGAAUGGAAACAAGGGUAUUCGUGGUGCACAUGACGCACUCUCUUGGCACACGCUUAUUUCUUACAGCUAAGGAAAUAGGAAUGCUGUCUGAGGGCUACGCAUGGAUCAUCACUGAUGGGCUAAUGGACCUACUCUACUCAAUGGAUUCUCGUGUCAUAGAAGCAAUGCAAGGUGUCUUGGGGUAAAGCCUCGCAUUCCCAAAUCAUCAGAACUCGACUCUUCCAUAUUUAGGUGGAAGAUGAAGUUUCUUCAGGAUAAUCCUACUGUCAAACAGGCUGAGAUAAGCAGUUUUGGGCUAUGGGCAUAUGACACUAUGUGGGCACUGGCAAUGGCAGUAGAGAUAAUUGGAUUUAGGAAGCCAAUCACUUUAGAGAAAAAUGCAAUGAAUUUGACAAACCUAUUUAGUUUUGGAAUCUCUCAAACAGGUCCUAAACUUCACAAAGCAAUGUUGGAGACAAGAUUUGAAGGGUUGAGUGGUGAGUUCUAUCUUGUUAAUGGACGAUUACAACCUUCGCCAUUCCAAAUAUUAAAUGUAGUUGGAAAGGGGGAGAGAGAGGUCGGAAUCUGGACACAAUCUCAUGGAAUUUCAAGGGAAUUCAACAUGAAUGCAGCAAAUUCUUCAUCAACUUUGAAGGAAAACUUUCGAGCAAUUAUAUGGCCUAAAGAUUCAACACAUGUACCGAAAGGCUAGGAAAUUCCAGUAAAAGGUAAGAAGCUAAGAAUUGGGGUCCCAGUAAAAGAUGGUUUUACUGAAUUUGCAAAGGUGGAAAUAGACUCUCAAUCCAAUUCCACAACAUUCAGUGGAUAUUGUAUAGAAAUAUUUGAUUAUGUAUUAAAAGCAUUACCAUACGAUGUGCCAAGUGAGUACGUUCCCCUCAAGAAAGUUGAUGAUGAGAAUUAUUAUAAUGAUCUGGUAUACCAAGUUUAUCUUCAGCAGAAUUAUGAUGCUGCAGUAGGGGACAUUACAAUCACAACAAAUCGGUCGUUCUAUGUGGAUUUCACAUUGCCGUUUGCAGAUGGAGGGGUUUCCAUGAUAGUACCAAUUACAUAUGAGGACAAUAACAGUAAAUGGAUCUUCUUGAAACCGUUCAAUAUGGACCUGUGGCUAACAAGCAUAGCUUUCUUCAUCUUUACUGGAUUUGCUGUUUGGGUUCUUGAACAUCGAAUAAAUAUUGCAUUUAGAGGUCCACCUUCCCAGCAUGUUGGAGAAAAAAUAGUGAGCAACUUGGCUAAGUUUGCUGUGGUGAUAUGGUUGUUUGUGGUUCU
Camellia sinensis is the source of this 1656-nucleotide non-coding RNA. Lineage: Eukaryota; Viridiplantae; Streptophyta; Magnoliopsida; Ericales; Theaceae. The record is from RefSeq and is a predicted model, not a curated record.